Ribosomal RNA from Astatotilapia calliptera (eastern happy), 114 nucleotides. NCBI's taxonomy places the organism in Eukaryota, Metazoa, Chordata, Actinopteri, Cichliformes, Cichlidae. The record is from Ensembl.
GCUUUCAGCCAUACCACCCUGAGCACACCUGAUCUCAUCAGAUCUCAGAAUCAAAGCACAGUUGGGUUAGUACUUGGAUGGGAGACCACCUGGGAAUACUAGCUGCUGUAAGCU